ACAUACGACCAUACCUACUGGAGAACUCGGGAUCCCGUCCGCUCUCCCAUAGAUAAGCCAGUGAGGGUCGGACUAGUAGUUGGGUGGGUGACCACCAGCGAAUCCCUGAUGUUGUAUGUU
This is a ribosomal RNA of Verticillium longisporum, 120 nucleotides long. Lineage: Eukaryota; Fungi; Ascomycota; Sordariomycetes; Glomerellales; Plectosphaerellaceae. The record is from Rfam.